CGUAUAUUAAAGUUGUUGCAGUUAAAAAGCUCGUAGUUGGAUUUGUGGCGUACGGUGUGUUCCGGGCACUUGUUGUCUGAGUAACCUGCUGUUGCCAUCCUUGGGUGGAACCUGUGUGGCAUUAGGUUGUCGUGCAGGGGAUGCCCACCUUUUACUGUGAAAAAAUUAGAGUGUUCAAAGCAGGCUUAUGCCGUUGAAUAUAUUAGCAUGGAAUAAUGAGAUAGGACUUUUUUACUAUUUUGUUGGUUUGCGUAAAGAGGUAAUGAUUAAUAGGGACAGUUGGGGG
RNAcentral lists this ribosomal RNA (286 nucleotides) under uncultured diatom. RNAcentral describes it as "partial 18S ribosomal RNA". It matches the Rfam family "Eukaryotic small subunit ribosomal RNA", at positions 598 to 888 of the family's 1831-position model. The record is from RNAcentral. Lineage: Eukaryota; Bacillariophyta.